GUCUUUUUGAAAUAAUUUAAAGUCUAAUCUGCCCACUGAUAAAAUUAAAGGGCUGCAGUAUAAUGACUGUACAAAGGUAGCAUAAUCAAUAGUUUUUUAAUUGAAAACUUGUAUGAAAGAUUUGAUGAAAUAUAAACUGUCUCUAAUUUAUAAAUAGAAUUUUAUUUUUUAGUAAAAAAGCUUAAAUAAAUUUAAAAGACGAGAAGACCCUAUAGAGUUUUAUAUUUAAUUUUAUUAAAAAAUUAUAUAAAAAUUAAUAUUUAAAUAAAAUUAAAUAUUAUAUUGGGGUGAUAGAAAAAUUAAAUUAACUUUUUUUAAAAAUUAAACAUAAAUAAAUGAUUAUAUGAUCCAUAAAUAAUGAUUAUAAGAAGAAAUUACCUUAGGGAUAACAGCGUAAUAUUUUUUUUUAGCUCAAAUAAAAAAAAAAGUUUGCGACCUCGAUGUUGGAUUAAGAUAAAAUUUAAAUGCAAAAGUUUAAAAGUUUUGAUCUGUUCGAUCAUUAAAAUCUUACA
This 512-nucleotide ribosomal RNA is filed under the name Melanargia lucasi. Its description in RNAcentral is "partial 16S ribosomal RNA". The stretch from base 385 to 512 matches the Rfam family "Archaeal large subunit ribosomal RNA", at positions 2542 to 2669 of the family's 2987-position model. Lineage: Eukaryota; Metazoa; Arthropoda; Insecta; Lepidoptera; Nymphalidae. The record is from RNAcentral.